RNAcentral lists this non-coding RNA (21 nucleotides) under Caenorhabditis elegans. Lineage: Eukaryota; Metazoa; Nematoda; Chromadorea; Rhabditida; Rhabditidae. The record is from RNAcentral.
UAACGAGAAAGAAACGAAAAC